Molecule: ribosomal RNA, 772 nt
Filed under: uncultured bacterium
Lineage: Bacteria
Description: bacterial SSU rRNA
Rfam family: Bacterial small subunit ribosomal RNA
Source: RNAcentral
AGAGUUUGAUCAUGGCUCAGAAUCAACGCUGGCGGCGUGCCUAACACAUGCAAGUCGAACGUGAAAGCCCCGCAAGGGGUGAGUAGAGUGGCGCACGGGUGAGUAACACGUGGAUAACCUGCCUUUGAGUGGGGAAUAACCUUCCGAAAGGAGGGCUGAUACCGCAUAACACCCUUGGACAAAGGUCAAGGGGUUAAAAGGAGCAAUUCGCUCAAAGAGGGGUCCGCGCCUGAUUAGCUAGUUGGCGGGGUAACGGCCCACCAAGGCUUCGAUCAGUAGCCGUCCUGAGAGGGAGCACGGCCACACUGGAACUGAGACACGGUCCAGACUCCUACGGGAGGCAGCAGUGGGGAAUUUUUGGCAAUGGGCGAAAGCCUGACCAAGCAACGCCGCGUGGGUGAUGAAGUAUCUUGGUACGUAAAACCCUUUCGGCAGGGACGAACUUAAUGACGGUACCUGCGGAAGAAGCCCCGGCUAACUCCGUGCCAGCAGCCGCGGUAAUACGGGGGGGGCAAGCGUUGUUCGGAAUUAUUGGGCGUAAAGGGCGCGUAGGCGGUUAGAUAAGUCGGCUGUGAAAACCUCGGGCUUAACUCGAGGCCUGCAGUUGAAACUGUCUAGCUGGAGUGUGGGAGAGGAGAGUGGAAUUCCCGGUGUAGCGGUGAAAUGCAGAUAUCGGGAGGAACACCGGUGGCGAAGGCGGCUCUCUGGACCACUACUGACGCUGAGGCGCGAAAGCUAGGGGAGCAAACAGGAUUAGAUACCCUAGUAGUCC